CAGUCGCCACGGUAAUACGAAGGGGGCUAGCGUUGCUCGGAAUGACUGGGCGUAAAGGGCGCGUAGGCGGCACACACAGUCAGGCGUGAAAUUCCUGGGCUUAACCUGGGGGCUGCGUUUGAUACAUGUGAGCUAGAGGAUGGAAGAGGCUCGUGGAAUUCCCAGUGUAGAGGUGAAAUUCGUAGAUAUUCGCAAGAACACCAGUGGCGAAGGCGGCUCACUGGCCCAUAACUGACGCUGAGGCACGAAAGCGUGGGGAGCAAACAGGAUUAGAUACCCGCGUAGUCCCUGUCUCUUAUAC
RNAcentral lists this ribosomal RNA (301 nucleotides) under uncultured bacterium. Its description in RNAcentral is "partial 16S ribosomal RNA". It matches the Rfam family "Bacterial small subunit ribosomal RNA", at positions 509 to 807 of the family's 1533-position model. The record is from RNAcentral.